ACCUAUUAGGAUGGAUUAUGUCUAAAAAAUUUCUAAAAUUUUUAUUGGGAAUGGCAGUAUUUUCAUAUGCGGUGCCAAGUUUCGCAGAUGGUUC
Molecule: transfer RNA, 94 nt
Filed under: Actinobacillus delphinicola
Lineage: Bacteria; Pseudomonadati; Pseudomonadota; Gammaproteobacteria; Pasteurellales; Pasteurellaceae
Description: tRNA-Pyl(cta)
Source: RNAcentral